UACGUAGGUGGCAAGCGUUGUCCGGAUUUAUUGGGCGUAAAGAGCCCGCAGGCGGCUUGAUAAGUUUCAGGUGAAAUCUCCUGGCUUAACUGGGAGAGGUCCUGGAAAACUGUCAGGCUUGAGGCAGGGAGAGGGAUGUGGAAUUCCCGGUGUAGUAGUGAAAUGCGUAGAUAUCGGGAGGAACACCAGUGGCGAAGGCGGCAUCCUGGCCCUGUCCUGACGCUCAGGGGCGAAAGCGUGGGGAGCAAACCGG
Molecule: ribosomal RNA, 253 nt
Filed under: uncultured bacterium
Lineage: Bacteria
Description: partial 16S ribosomal RNA
Rfam family: Bacterial small subunit ribosomal RNA
Source: RNAcentral